GAAAUGCGAUAAUUAAUGUGAAUUGCAGAAUUCAGUGAAUCAUCGAGUCUUUGAACGCACAUUGCGCCCCCUGGUAUUCCGGGGGGCAUGCCUGUCCGAGCGUCAUUGCUGCCCUCAAGCACGGCUUGUGUGUUGGGCUUCCGUCCCUGGCAACGGGGACGGGCCCAAAAGGCAGUGGCGGCACCUUGUCUGGUCCUCGAGCGUAUGGGGCUUUGUCACCCGCUCCCGUAGGUCCAGCUGGCAGCUAGCCUCGCAACCAAUCUUUUUAACCAGGUUGACCUCGGAUCAGGUAGGGAUACCCGCUGAACUUAAGC
This 314-nucleotide unclassified non-coding RNA is filed under the name plant metagenome. RNAcentral's name for it is "partial contains 5.8S ribosomal RNA, internal transcribed spacer 2, and large subunit ribosomal RNA". The stretch from base 1 to 105 matches the Rfam family "5.8S ribosomal RNA", at positions 50 to 154 of the family's 154-position model. The record is from RNAcentral.